CAACCCAAUUAAGAUAUUUAGUGUGCUGGUGCAACCCACUGUAUUACGCAAGAUGGAAAGAUAUAGAGAGCAGUAUGACCCAUCAGAUUCCUUUAGCGGUGGUAAUGGCAGAUUAAUGAACAACAUGGUACAGAAAAACAACCCCUGGAUUAAUACCACAUUGAAAAAAUGGCAGAAGACAAUAAAACUCUAAUUUGGAACAUACUUUAAAAAUAUUAAGAUGGUGCACCUUUGACACAGAUUUCUCUCCUAAUAGACUGGACUACAGAUUUAGGGCUUGGAUUAAAGAGGGGUUUACUACACCUUUGUAAAUAAAGGAACACUCAAGAGCUUUGAAUUGUUACAGCAAGAGCAUGGACUACAAUGCCAAGAUUUCUAUAGGUAUCUCCAGGUUAGACACUACUUUCAGGAAAAUAUAGUUAAAGCAAUAGAAGGGCAAAAGACAGGUAUUUUGGAAGUGUUCAAAGGAGCAAUCAAUUCAUCAAUAUGCAAGAAGGUUGUACCUAGAUUAUAUCAUGAGUUACACCAAGCCAGUCCAGACAACACUCUAUAUAUCAAGGACAAAUGGGAAAAUGAAGGUAGUUUUCAAUAUCUGAAGAAGAGUGGGAAAGCAUAUGUAGACUACAAUGGGGAACAACAUGCUCCAAUACAUGGUGAGAAUAUAGCUGGAAAAAUUUGUCCAGAUUUUUUAUAACACCAUUGCAACAAUGAACACAAAUAUCAAGCACAGCCUGCUGGUGGGCCUGUGGAGCAAAUGAGGCCAAUCACUUUCAUGUCUUCUGGGAUUGCCCAGUACUAAUUCCAUACUGGCAAACAAUACACCA
Long non-coding RNA from Thalassophryne amazonica, 824 nucleotides. RefSeq lists it as uncharacterized. NCBI's taxonomy places the organism in Eukaryota, Metazoa, Chordata, Actinopteri, Batrachoidiformes, Batrachoididae. The transcript has 3 exons. The record is from RefSeq and is a predicted model, not a curated record.